GAAGGUCACGGCGAGACGAGCCGUUUAUCAUUACGAUAGGUGUCAAGUGGAAGUGCAGUGAUGUAUGCAGCUGAGGCAUCCUAACAGACCGGUAGACUUGAACCUUGUUCCUACAUGACCCGAUCAAUUCGAUCAGGCACUCGCCAUCUAUUUUCAUUGUUCAACUCUUUGACAACACGAAAAACCAUUGUUCAACUCUUUGACAACAUGAAAAAACCAAAGGCCUCUGCCCUGCCCUCCCUCUCUAUCUAUCCAAGGGAUGGAAGGGCAG
Molecule: ribosomal RNA, 271 nt
Filed under: Corylus avellana
Lineage: Eukaryota; Viridiplantae; Streptophyta; Magnoliopsida; Fagales; Betulaceae
Also listed under: 23 other names
Description: 4.5S ribosomal RNA
Source: RNAcentral